This 255-nucleotide ribosomal RNA is filed under the name uncultured bacterium. Its description in RNAcentral is "partial 16S ribosomal RNA". It matches the Rfam family "Bacterial small subunit ribosomal RNA", at positions 524 to 776 of the family's 1533-position model. The record is from RNAcentral.
UACGGGGGGGGCAAGCGUUGUUCGGAAUUACUGGGCGUAAAGGGCUCGUAGGCGGCCAACUAAGUCAGACGUGAAAUCCCUCGGCUUAACCGGGGAACUGCGUCUGAUACUGGAUGGCUUGAGUUUGGGAGAGGGAUGCGGAAUUCCAGGUGUAGCGGUGAAAUGCGUAGAUAUCUGGAGGAACACCGGUGGCGAAGGCGGCCUGCUGGGCAGUUUAGCUGACACUGAGGCGCGACAGCGUGGGGAGCAAACAGG